AUUGAACGCUGGCGGCAGGCCUAACACAUGCAAGUCGAACGAGUGGCGGACGGGUGAGUCAUGUCUGGGAAACUGCCCGAUGGAGGGGGAUAACUACUGGAAACGGUAGCUAAUACCGCAUACCAUCGGAUGUGCCCAGAUGGGAUUAGCUAGUAGGUGGGGUAACGGCUCACCUAGGCGACGAUCCCUAGCUGGUCUGAGAGGAUGACCAGCCACACUGGAACUGAGACACGGUCCAGACUCCUACGGGAGGCAGCAGUAGGGAAUAUUGCACAAUGGGCGCAAGCCUGAUGCAGCCAGGCCGCGUGUAUGAAGAAGGCCUUCGGGUUGUAAAGUACUUUCAGCGGGGAGGCGUGACCCGCAGAAGAAGCACCGGCUAACUCCGUGCCAGAAGACGCGGUAAGUC
Molecule: ribosomal RNA, 406 nt
Filed under: uncultured bacterium
Lineage: Bacteria
Description: partial 16S ribosomal RNA
Rfam family: Bacterial small subunit ribosomal RNA
Source: RNAcentral